CGUGGGGGGCGGAAGACGGAGAGGCCGGUCUCGUUUUACGAGACUGUCGGUGGCCAAGGUGACCUACAGGGCUCGUCUCAGCAAGCCGGCGCUUCGCACCUGUUGUUCUCAGUUCUGGAAGCUGGAAGGCUGAAAUCAAGAUGUUGGCAGGGCCACACUCCCUCUGAAGAUUCUAGGGGAACAUCUCCUUGCCUCUUGCAGUUUAUGGUGGCUGUCAUGGACACCUGUCAUUGGUUCUGGGACCCACCCACAUAAUCCAGGAUGAUCUCAUCUCAAGUGACUUUUGAUCUGUUUAGAACAAUAAACCGUCAGUGAUUUACAGAAUGUCAUCCUGCGCGCACAGAGGAAGAUACCCCCUCCAGAAUGGCAAAGGAACCUCCAUACUACUUUCCAUAACGGCUGAACCAAUUUACAUUCCCACCAACAUUGUACAAGUGUUCCUGUUUCUCCACAUCCUUCCCAACAUUUAUCUUUUGUCUUUUGAUAAUAUCCAUUCUAACAGGUUUGAGGUGAUAGCUCAUUGUGCAUUUCCUUGAUGACUAAUGAUGUUGGGCAUCUUUUCAUAUAUCUGUUGGCCAUUGGUAUGUCUUCUUUUGAGAAAUGUCUGUUCAAGUCCUUUGCGCAUUGUUAAUUGGGUUAUGUGUUUUCUUCCUAUUGGUUAUUUGAGUUCCUUGUAUAUUUUAGAUAUUAGCCUUUUAUCAGAUAUAUGGUUGGCAAAUAUUUUUCCUAUUCCACUAGGUUGUCUCUUCACUCUAUUCAUUGUUUCCUUUGCUAUGCAGAAGGUGUUUUUGUUUGAUGAAAUCCCAUUUGUCUAUUUUUGCUUCUGUUUUCUAUGCUUUUGGGGUCAUCUCCAAAAAAAUCAUUGCCCAGACCAAUGUCAAGAAGCUUUUCUCCUAUGUUUUCUUCUAGAAGUUUUACAGUGUCAGGUCUUAUAUUUAAGUCUUUCAUUCAUUUUGAGUUGACUUUUGUAUAUGGAGUGAGAUGAGGAUCUAAUUUCAUUCUUCUACAUAUCGAUAUCCAGUUUUCCCAGGACCAUUUACUGAAGAGACUGUUCUUUCCACAUUGUGUGUUCUUGGCACCCUCAUAGAAGAUCACCUGGCCAUAUAUAUGAGGGUUUAUUUCUGGGUUCUCUUUUUCUGUUCCUUUUGUCUAUAUGUCUGUUUUUAUGCCAGAAACCAUACUGUUUUGAUUACUAUAGGUUUGUAAUAUAGUUUGAAAUCAGGACGUGUGAUGCCUCCAGCUUUGUUCUUCUUUCUCAAAAUUACUUCAGCUAUUCAGGGGUUUUGUGAUUCCCUGUCAAUUUUAGAAUUUUUUUUUUCUAUUUCUGUGAAAAAUGCCACUGGAGUUUUGAUAGAGAUUGCAUUGAAUCUGUAGAUCACUUUGGGUAGUAUGGACAGUUUAACAAUAUCAAUUCUUCCAGUUCAUAAACACAGAAUAUCUUUCCAUUGAUGUGUGUCUUCAAUUACUUUCAUCAGUGUUUUCAAACCUGCAGUUUAGAAGUUUACUCUUGAAUGAAGAUAAUGAAAGGAAGGCAAGACCAGCAGAAGUGAGCCCAGUCAGGAGACACUAGCAACAGGGCUGCUGUUGCCACUUUUGAGUAAAUUUUAAAAAGGCAACUUUUCUUCAUAGAAGCAGCCCAGACAAGCUUGGUAAAGAGAGUGUACUAGAUUUAAGCCCUGCUUCAGCUCAGGCAUCCUUGUGCAAUGAACCCAGUGCAUGAUCAUAUGAGGAAGUGUAUUGGCAGUUGUCCACGUGAGUGAUGAGGAAGGCCUGAACUACACAGCUUGAGGAUGUUGAUUAACAGCAACAAGCACCACUAUAGGCAACAUUGCUUUGUAACAUACCAUGUGCAUCUUACACAUACAAGGGCAGUGGCAGUUGUGAGAAAGUAAGAAUCUGCACUGCAAAGACCAAUAAGGACGGCUGGCCUCUUUACAUCAUGUGCUAAUUGGCAGCCCUGCCCUGUAGAGCCCCUGUUUCAUUUCACAUCAGGAAAGUGAUUAAACUAAUUGCCUUACACCAGUGUUGUAUUUCAUGUGUAUAAUACCCAUAAUUUGAGGUUUGAACACAAUUGCAGUAAAUUAUACUAAUCACAGGAAAAGUUCAUUAAACUUACAUAGGCUUAUUGAAAAGUGUGUUGUUUUAAGCAAUCAGUAUCCGCAAGUUGAAAUGUGCUUUCUUGUUUUAUAAUAAAAGAG
Molecule: long non-coding RNA, 2198 nt
Organism: Globicephala melas (long-finned pilot whale)
Lineage: Eukaryota; Metazoa; Chordata; Mammalia; Artiodactyla; Delphinidae
Source: RefSeq, a predicted model, not a curated record